AGACCCGAAACCCGGUGAUCUAGCCAUGGGCAGGUUGAAGGUUGGGUAACACUAACUGGAGGACCGAACCGACUAAUGUUGAAAAAUUAGCGGAUGACCUGUGGCUGGGGGUGAAAGGCCAAUCAAACCGGGAGAUAGCUGGUUCUCCCCGAAAGCUAUUUAGGUAGCGCCUCGUGAAUUCAUCUCCGGGGGUAGAGCACUGUUUCGGCUAGGGGGCCAUCCCGGCUUACCAACCCGAUGCAAACUGCGAAUACCGGAGAAUGUUAUCACGGGAGACACACGGCGGGUGCUAACGUCCGUCGUGAAGAGGGAAACAACCCAGACCGCCAGCUAAGGUCCCAAAGUCAUGGUUAAGUGGGAAACGAUGUGGGAAGGCCCAGACAGCCAGGAUGUUGGCUUAGAAGCAGCCAUCAUUUAAAGAAAGCGUAAUAGCUCACUGGUCGAGUCGGCCUGCGCGGAAGAUGUAACGGGGCUAAACCAUGCACCGAAGCUGCGGCAGCGACGCUGAUGCGUUGUUGGGUAGGGGAGCGUUCUGUAAGCCUGCGAAGGUGGCCUGUGAGGGUUGCUGGAGGUAUCAGA
Molecule: ribosomal RNA, 579 nt
Filed under: Salmonella enterica
Lineage: Bacteria; Pseudomonadati; Pseudomonadota; Gammaproteobacteria; Enterobacterales; Enterobacteriaceae
Also listed under: 3 other names
Description: partial 23S ribosomal RNA
Rfam family: Bacterial large subunit ribosomal RNA
Source: RNAcentral